Molecule: ribosomal RNA, 443 nt
Filed under: uncultured bacterium
Lineage: Bacteria
Description: partial 16S ribosomal RNA
Rfam family: Bacterial small subunit ribosomal RNA
Source: RNAcentral
CCUACGGGUGGCAGCAGUGGGGAAUAUUGGACAAUGGGCGCAAGCCUGACCCAGCAACGCCGCGUGAAGGAAGAAGGCUUUCGGGUUGUAAACUUCUUUUCUCAGGGACGAAGAAAGUGACGGUACCUGAGGAAUAAGCCACGGCUAACUACGUGCCAGCAGCCGCGGUAAUACGUAGGUAGCAAGCGUUAUCCGGAUUUAGUGGGUGUAAAGGGCGUGUAGGCGGGAACGCAAGUCAGAUGUGAAAACUCAGGGCUCAACCCUGAGACUGCAUUUGAAACUGUGUUUCUUGAGUGUUGGAGAGGCAAUUGGAAUUCCUGGUGUAGCGGUGAAAUGCGUAGAUAUACGGAGGAACACCAGUGGCGAAGGCGGAUUGCUGGACAAUAACUGACGCUGAGGCGCGAAAGCGUGGGGAGCAAACAGGAUUAGAUACCCGAGUAGUC